AGUCAAUUUUGUUUGGUUAGGAAACGUAAUAGAACACAAGAAUAGCUAGUUUAGGGGUAUAUAGGUCAAUUCACUAGGUGAAAGUGACCUCAAAGUCUAAUGUGCUUUAUUCAGUAAUUGGAAAUAUGAAAUGUGUCUCUAAGGAUAAAAUUUUCUAUUUUAAUAUGACUGUGACUAAGUCAAUCGAUGGCAGUGGUUAUGUAUUUUUGACAGGAAUAUU
RNAcentral lists this long non-coding RNA (220 nucleotides) under Brassica napus (rape). RNAcentral's name for it is "long non-coding RNA (BNAP_LNC024746)". Lineage: Eukaryota; Viridiplantae; Streptophyta; Magnoliopsida; Brassicales; Brassicaceae. The record is from RNAcentral.